GAGAAGGCGAUUUUGUGUGAGAAAGGAAACAACAGGGGCGUUAAGGAAAUGGGUGGUGGAAAACAAAUGGAUGGCUCAAAAAUAAACAGCUUUAUGAAUCAAGAAUUUUCUGAAGCAGAACUGGCAUUAAAAAGCUGUAAAAUGGUCAUACCUGCCCACACAAGUUCAAGAGGAAAUUCAAAUUCUAAAAAUUUAAAACAAAAAUAUAAAAUAAAUUACGUUUCAGCUCAUAUCAAUAAAUUCAACCCUUAUUCAAGUUCAUACUUCAAGUAUCAUAAAUCUCAGAAGCGCAGAUAACCAGCGAAAAUCAAACUCUAAAAAAAUACGGAAUUCGAGCCUUUUAACUGGU
RNAcentral lists this long non-coding RNA (349 nucleotides) under Olea europaea (common olive). RNAcentral describes it as "long non-coding RNA (OEUR_LNC003176)". Lineage: Eukaryota; Viridiplantae; Streptophyta; Magnoliopsida; Lamiales; Oleaceae. The record is from RNAcentral.